UGGGGAAUCUUGCACAAUGGGGGAAACCCUGAUGCAGCGACGCCGCGUGAACGAUGAAGCCCUUCGGGGUGUAAAGUUCUUUCGACAGGAACGAUAAUGACGGUACCUGGAGAAGAAGCUGCGGCUAACUACGUGCCAGCAGCCGCGGUAAUACGUAGGCAGCGAGCGUUGUUCGGAGUUACUGGGCGUAAAGAGUGCGUAGGCGGCGAGCCAAGUUUGGUGUGAAAUCUCCCGGCUUAACUGGGAGGGUGGGCCGAAAACUGCAAGGCUCGGGUACUGGAGAGGAAAGCGGAAUUCCUGGUGUAGCGGUGAAAUGCGUAGAUAUCAGGAGGAACACCGGUGGUGUAGACGGCUUUCUGAACAGUCACUGACGCUGAGACACGAAAG
RNAcentral lists this ribosomal RNA (387 nucleotides) under uncultured bacterium. RNAcentral's name for it is "bacterial SSU rRNA". It matches the Rfam family "Bacterial small subunit ribosomal RNA", at positions 355 to 759 of the family's 1533-position model. The record is from RNAcentral.